CCCGUUGAGUAAUAUAGCCUAGGGGAAAGAAAUGAGAGAAACUUCAAAAUCAACAAUUUUACAAGGCAAAUAAGAAAACAAAACUGCAAAUAUUUACUUGUGUGUACAAAAUUUAUUCUACUCUUGUGGUAAGCAUGCCCAGAUUAUAUGAUCUUUGAAGACUGGAAAUGUAUUUUUCUUCUUUUGUAUUUCUCAUUCAAUAGGUUAAUAAACACUUGGUUGUUGAUUAACAUGUCAAAUUAUUUGGAAAGGGACUUGAGCCAUGAUAUCUUCGAUAUCAAAACUUUCUUCAAACCAGAAAGAUAUAUUUGAUCUCUCUCAGUGUUUCUCAACGUGUAGUCUGCAGACCACCAACUGGUGAAUCAUUGGGCUGAGGCCACAUGCUUUUUCAAAAUCCUUACUAAAAAUGCAGAUUUAUGACUCUAAAGACCUUCUGAAUCAGAAACUCAGAGGGUUAAUCUUGGAAAUCUGCAUUUUAAUAAGGUACCUGGUGGAUUUUAUGUGCACUAAGCAUUGAAUACUUCUGUUUCUGGAUUCAUUGGCUUCUAUGCAAUUUUGCUCUAAAAACAAAGCUACUAGAUGAUGCUUCUAGUGACACUUCAGACAAUCAUGGGGACCAGACUGAAUCUCAGCUUCUCUGUUUACUAUUAAAUACUUGCAUGACCCUGGUCAAGCUAUUUAACUUGUCCAUGUUUUAGUUUUCUCUUCUGUAAACUGUAGGUCAUAAAGACACCUGCCACAUAGAGGUGUUUGAGUGUUAAACACAAUACCUGCAAAGUUCUUAGAAGAGCACCUGACACACAGGAAGUCCUCAAUAAAAGAGUCUCACUCUAUCAUCCAGGCUGGAGCACAGUGGUGCGACUAUAGCUCACCGCAGUCUUGAACUCCUGGGCUCAAGCCAUCCUCCCACCUCAGCCUCCUGAGUAGCUGGGACUACAGCAUUAUUCUACUGGCUUCCUUUCUUUCUCAAGUGUCCUCCUUCUGAAUGCCAGCUUAUCUGCAAAGAUGAAGAGUUCCUAAAGAAAAGGGAAGAAGAAAUAUCAAAAGAAAAUACAUUCAAAAUUCUUAGGAGACAAAGGGGAAGAAAAAAGCAGGGAGAUGAGAGUGAUGAAUCAUAUGCCUUAAAGAAGAAAGGCCUCAACAGAUGCAAAAGUCUUGCAUUUUUUCCCCAAUAAUUUGAAUGCAGACCUCCUGGGAAAUAAGCACAGCACAAACAUGUGUCUUUAAAUGCCAGUAAAUAACAUAAAAUCUU
Molecule: long non-coding RNA, 1252 nt
Organism: Pan troglodytes (chimpanzee)
Lineage: Eukaryota; Metazoa; Chordata; Mammalia; Primates; Hominidae
Exons: 3
Source: RefSeq, a predicted model, not a curated record